AAUCAACGCUGGCGGCGUGCCUAACACAUGCAAGUCGAACGCGAAAGCCCCUUCGGGGGUAAGUAGAGUGGCGUCCGGGUGAGUAACACGUAGGUAAUCUACCUUCGGGUGGGGAAUAACUCGCCGAAAGGCGAGCUAAUACCGCAUAAUGCAGCGGCACCUAAUGGUGAUUAGUUGUUAAAGCGGGGGAUCGUAAGACCUCGCGCCUGAAGAGGAGCCUGCGGCAGAUUAGCUAGUGGUGAGGUAAUGGCUCACCAAGGCUUCGAUCUGUAGCUGGUCUGAGAGGACGGCCAGCCACACUGGCACUGACACACGGGCCAGACUCCUACGGGAGGCAGCA
RNAcentral lists this ribosomal RNA (340 nucleotides) under uncultured bacterium. RNAcentral describes it as "bacterial SSU rRNA". It matches the Rfam family "Bacterial small subunit ribosomal RNA", at positions 32 to 353 of the family's 1533-position model. The record is from RNAcentral.